Molecule: transfer RNA, 83 nt
Filed under: Lederbergia ruris
Lineage: Bacteria; Bacillati; Bacillota; Bacilli; Caryophanales; Bacillaceae
Also listed under: 1 other name
Description: tRNA-Leu
Rfam family: tRNA
About the family: Transfer RNA (tRNA) molecules are approximately 80 nucleotides in length.
Source: RNAcentral
GCGGGUGUGGUGGAAUUGGCAGACACGCUAGACUUAGGAUCUAGUGCCGCAAGGCGUGGGGGUUCGACUCCCUUCACCCGCAC